GACGAACGCUGGCGGCGUGCUUAACACAUGCAAGUCGAACGAUGAUGCUGGAGCUUGCUCCAGUUGAUUAGUGGCGAACGGGUGAGUAACACGUGAGCAAUCUGCCCUUGACUCUGGGAUAACUGCGGGAAACUGUAGCUAAUACCGGAUACUUUCACCGGGGGGCAUCCUCUGGUGAUGAAAGAAUUUCGGUCAAGGAUGAGCUCGCGGCCUAUCAGCUUGUUGGUGAGGUAACGGCUCACCAAGGCGACGACGGGUGACCGGCCUGAGAGGGUGACCGGUCACACUGGGACUGAGACACGGCCCAGACUCCUACGGGAGGCAGCAGUGGGGAAUAUUGCACAAUGGGCGCAAGCCUGAUGCAGCAACGCCGCGUGAGGGAUGAAGGCCUUCGGGUUGUAAACCUCUUUUAGCAGGGAAGAGGCGAAAGUGACGGUACCUGCAGAAAAAGCACCGGCUAACUACGUGCCAGCCGCCGCCGUAA
RNAcentral lists this ribosomal RNA (484 nucleotides) under uncultured bacterium. RNAcentral describes it as "partial 16S ribosomal RNA". It matches the Rfam family "Bacterial small subunit ribosomal RNA", at positions 28 to 523 of the family's 1533-position model. The record is from RNAcentral.